GAUGAACGCUGGCGGCGUGCCUAAUACAUGCAAGUCGAGCGAACGGACGAGAAGCUUGCUUCUCUGAUGUUAGCGGCGGACGGGUGAGUAACACGUGGAUAACCUACCUAUAAGACUGGGAUAACUUCGGGAAACCGGAGCUAAUACCGGAUGAUAUUUUGAACCGCAUGGUUCAAAAGUGAAAGACGGUCUUGCUGUCACUUAUAGAUGGAUCCGCGCUGCAUUAGCUAGUUGGUAAGGUAACGGCUUACCAAGGCAACGAUGCAUAGCCGACCUGAGAGGGUGAUCGGCCACACUGGAACUGAGACACGGUUCAGACUCCUACGGGAGGCAGCAGUAGGGAAUCUUCCGCAAUGGGCGAAAGCCUGACGGAGCAACGCCGCGUGAGUGAUGAAGGUCUUCGGAUCGUAAAACUCUGUUAUUAGGGAAGAACAUAUGUGUAAGUAACUGUGCACAUCUUGACGGUACCUAAUCAGAAAGCCACGGCUAACUACGUG
This 497-nucleotide ribosomal RNA is filed under the name uncultured bacterium. Its description in RNAcentral is "partial 16S ribosomal RNA". It matches the Rfam family "Bacterial small subunit ribosomal RNA", at positions 28 to 507 of the family's 1533-position model. The record is from RNAcentral.